GGCACACAUUCUCGCUGGGCAGGAUCCCUCCCCUUGCUCUGCCAAACGCAUCCUCCAGACGAACGCUGGACAAAACCACUUUCCCCGCUCCGGAAGCGCAGCCCCUGCCAGGGCGGCCGGUCCCGGGCCGCGAGGCGCGCGGCUCUGCGCCCGGCCGGGUCACCGCGGCCGCGCGCACCCGGCCNNNNCUUCCUGCCGCCGGGCUUCACGUGGGGCCGGCGCCGCCAACACGAGCGCGCGGGCAACGGCCCCGGCCCGCCGGGGCUCCGGCUGCGGCCGCUCUGCGCGCCGCCCUCCGCCCCGACCCUCCGCCCCGACCCUCCGUCCGUGACGGGCGCGACCUACCUCGCUGCAGGUCCGCCACAAGCAACUCCUCCGCUCGCCGGCCCGGCCGCGAACUGCCCCAGAGCAUGCGCUCUGCAGGCCUCCGGCCCCGACCCCGGGCCAGAAAGGAAAACAAAGAGCCCGGCGGCCCCUGGCGGCCGCCCCGCGAAGUGCAAGUGGCGCGCUCGGGCUAGAGCGCUCUUGACCAGGCUCUCUCCGCCUCUGCCCCGGGGACUGUGGGGGUCCCCGUCAGAGAAAGAUGAGAAAUCAGACCAUCAACAACCACGCAGGGCAUCCGGCUCAGCCUGGGGCUUAAGAAAGGCUUCCCAAGGUAAGUCUAAGAGGGCAGGGCAUCUAGGAGAUGCAUCCCUUGCGAUGACAGGGAGCGAUGACAACCUAGGGUGGUUGCGGGAAACUGCCAAGGUGUGACUUGCGCAGAGGGUGCCUGUGGGAGUGCAUGGAGAAUGCUCCAGAGGGUAGAGGCAGGAGUCAGAUCAGGAUGCAGGGCCUCAAGUGUCCAAGGAGUACAGCCUCUAUCCCGAAGCAGUGGGGAAUUAGGGAAGGGAUCUGAGCAAGGGAGUGACAUGAGCAGAAUUUUGUUUUAGAGCAAAAUGGAGAAUGGAUUGGGGGAAGGGGAAACCAAGAGUCGGGGUAGCAAGAGAAGCAAAGGAGACCACCUAAGAAAGAAGCUCAGGUUGUGGAUUGGGGUUGGGUGCUGAAGAUGGGAAAAAGGCAUCAAGUUGACCAUGCUCUCUUGUUAACACGCUCCUUCUUCAGGAUGGACACAGACAGUUCGGGAUUUCAGGUGUUCCCUAAAGUGACCUCUCAGGCCAUUUGACUGUGUCGGGGGAUUUCUGAAGUCAGGGCAGGGACCUCUGCAGAAGGGUAUUUUCUCCAUUUCAUGCUGAUUCUGACUCUGAAAGUCAUUUAAUCAUACCUGAACUCUGGAGGGACACUUUUGAUGAGUAUUUACCAACCGAAUUUCUCCUAGGAUGUGGAGCCCACCCAGAGCACUCCCAUCUUCAGGGUCUCUUACCUCUCCAAAUUUACUUCUGCCUCCAUCAUGGACUCCUCUUUUGGAUGAUAUUCUGUGAAAUUUCUCCAAGUUUUAACCCUGGAUCUUUGAUCUCUCUGCUGUCUUCUUCCAAGAUCUUACUCAUUCACAUGGCUUAAUAUAAUUAUAAGAAUGAUUAUUAUCACCCAUUUUGUAAAACCCUUUACUUCGUUAACUACAGAAACACAUCCACCCAUGUCCACGAGUUCAUUUGUUCCUUACACAACCUCAUGAUUGUUGGAAAAUGAGAAAAAUGAGGUUCACAGAGCCGAGGCAAGUUCUCUGGGGUCAGCACACGAGCAGAAGAAGAUUCUUGUUCUUUCAACUGAGAUGAUGGUCCUUUUGGUCUGGGUCUGACUUCCACCCUAAGUUUCAGCCCUGUAUCUCUUCCCAGAAGACCCAACUCCUAAAAUAAAACAUGUUUUGUAUGGAUCUAGACUCCCCUCCCAACUUCAUCCUUACAGCCAAGAUUAAGGUUCUUUGAGAAGUAAAGAUUUAAUCCUUCUUUUCUGUUUCUUCCUUCUUGUCUCCUCUUCAUGUUUCUGUUUCUGCCCCUCUGGUCUAAGGCACUACCCUCCUGGCCUCUGCUCCUGCCCCUCAUCCCUUCCCCCCCAUUUUGUUCCACCUAGGUCCCCACAUUAGUCUCCCUAAAUCAUGGCUGUGAGAACUUGCCCUGCUUCAGAAUCUUUAAAGACUCAGAUAUUUCUUCAGUGCUGUGCUUGGAACACCAGGUGGCAAAUGCCCCGGGUUGUUGAUUUCCCCAUUUUCCCCUUCCCCUCUGCACUGUACUCUGAAUGGGCCCAUGUUCUUUCUACCUUCUCACCUUUAUCUGGGCUGUUUUCCCUAACAAGUGCCUUUCUUCCUGCCUUGCUGAGCUCUUGGUAUAUCUUAAGGCUCAAUUCAGUCCCCAUCUCUGUGAAGCCUUCCUUGGCUCCGCUUUAUCUUUUCC
This 2327-nucleotide long non-coding RNA is filed under the name Ailuropoda melanoleuca (giant panda). RNAcentral describes it as "lncRNA (ENSAMEG00000025447.1)". Lineage: Eukaryota; Metazoa; Chordata; Mammalia; Carnivora; Ursidae. The record is from RNAcentral.